RNAcentral lists this small RNA (280 nucleotides) under Oryza sativa Japonica Group (Japanese rice). Its description in RNAcentral is "misc RNA Os09g0559800". The record is from RNAcentral. Lineage: Eukaryota; Viridiplantae; Streptophyta; Magnoliopsida; Poales; Poaceae.
ACAUCGCGGCGUAAGAGCUAAGUUGCGAGCAGAAUCUGACAGUGUUGCAAGUGCUAGUUUCUUUAGCUAUACAAAAUUACAGGAUUGAGCUCCUAGAGGCCAUUCAGAUUUUUUUUUUCUUUCAGUUCGUUUAAAGAUCAUAUAUAUAGAAUAGAAAUGAAAGAUGGUGGAUUUCAGAUUUUAAAUGUCAUUACAUUGUUUUAACCAGACAUAUGUAAACUGCCAAAUCGAGAUGCUUGCUUUGCUCUCUUGAAAUGGGAUGAUCAAUAUGUUUUGAAGG